GGUUGUGGUUCAGUGGUAGAACACUUGCCUAUCAUGUAUGAGGCACUGGGUUCAAUCCCUAGCACCA
RNAcentral lists this transfer RNA (67 nucleotides) under Marmota monax (woodchuck). RNAcentral's name for it is "tRNA.Asp". It matches the Rfam family "tRNA". Rfam says of the family: Transfer RNA (tRNA) molecules are approximately 80 nucleotides in length. Their secondary structure includes four short double-helical elements and three loops (D, anti-codon, and T loops). Lineage: Eukaryota; Metazoa; Chordata; Mammalia; Rodentia; Sciuridae. The record is from RNAcentral.